GGUCCUGUAGUCUAGCGGUUAGGACAUUGGAUUCUGACGCAUUCCAGAAACAAGAAUACCUUCUUCUUCCAAGAGCCCCGGUUCGAGUCCGGGCAGGACCU
This 101-nucleotide transfer RNA is filed under the name Niveomyces insectorum RCEF 264. Its description in RNAcentral is "Sporothrix insectorum RCEF 264 tRNA". It matches the Rfam family "tRNA". Rfam says of the family: Transfer RNA (tRNA) molecules are approximately 80 nucleotides in length. Their secondary structure includes four short double-helical elements and three loops (D, anti-codon, and T loops). Further hydrogen bonds mediate the characteristic L-shaped molecular structure. tRNAs have two regions of fundamental functional importance: the anti-codon, which is responsible for specific mRNA codon recognition, and the 3' end, to which the tRNAs corresponding amino acid is attached (by aminoacyl-tRNA synthetases). tRNAs cope with the degeneracy of the genetic code in two manners: having more than one tRNA (with a specific anti-codon) for a particular amino acid; and 'wobble' base-pairing, i.e. permitting non-standard base-pairing at the 3rd anti-codon position. Lineage: Eukaryota; Fungi; Ascomycota; Sordariomycetes; Hypocreales; Cordycipitaceae. The record is from Rfam by way of RNAcentral.